RNAcentral lists this unclassified non-coding RNA (352 nucleotides) under soil metagenome. RNAcentral describes it as "partial contains 5.8S ribosomal RNA, internal transcribed spacer 2, and large subunit ribosomal RNA". The stretch from base 1 to 120 matches the Rfam family "5.8S ribosomal RNA", at positions 35 to 154 of the family's 154-position model. The record is from RNAcentral.
GAUGAAGAACGUAGCGAAAUGCGAUAAGUAAUGUGAAUUGCAGAACUCAGUGAAUCAUCGAAUCUUUGAACGCACAUUGCGCCCGCCAGUAUUCUGGCGGGCAUGCCUGUUCGAGCGUCAUUACAACCCUCAGGCCCCCGGGCCUGGCGUUGGGGAUCGGCGGAAGCCCCCUGUGGGCACACGCCGUCCCUCAAAUACAGUGGCGGUCCCGCCGCAGCUUCCAUUGCGUAGUAGCUAACACCUCGCAACUGGAGAGCGGCGCGGCCAUGCCGUAAAACACCCAACUUCUGAAUGUUGACCUCGAAUCAGGUAGGAAUACCCGCUGAACUUAAGCAUAUCAAUAAGCGGAGGA